RNAcentral lists this ribosomal RNA (468 nucleotides) under uncultured bacterium. RNAcentral describes it as "partial 16S ribosomal RNA". It matches the Rfam family "Bacterial small subunit ribosomal RNA", at positions 28 to 507 of the family's 1533-position model. The record is from RNAcentral.
GACGAACGCUGGCGGCGUGCUUAACACAUGCAAGUCGAACGGAAAGGCCCUGCUUUUGUGGGGUGCUCGAGUGGCGAACGGGUGAGUAACACGUGAGUAACCUGCCCUUGACUUUGGGAUAACUUCAGGAAACUGGGGCUAAUACCGGAUAGGAGCUCCUGCUGCAUGGUGGGGGUUGGAAAGUUUCGGCGGUUGGGGAUGGACUCGCGGCUUAUCAGCUUGUUGGUGGGGUAGUGGCUUACCAAGGCUUUGACGGGUAGCCGGCCUGAGAGGGUGACCGGCCACAUUGGGACUGAGAUACGGCCCAGACUCCUACGGGAGGCAGCAGUGGGGAAUAUUGCACAAUGGGCGGAAGCCUGAUGCAGCAACGCCGCGUGCGGGAUGACGGCCUUCGGGUUGUAAACCGCUUUCGCCUGUGACGAAGCGUGAGUGACGGUAAUUGGUGAAGAAGCACCGGCUAACUACGUG